UACGUAGGGGCCUAGCGUUGUCCGGAAUUAUUGGGCGUAAAGAGCUCGUAGGCGGUUCGGCAAGUCGGAUGUGAAAUCUCCACGCUUAACGUGGAGGGGCCAUUCGAAACUGCUGUGACUCGAGUCCGGUAGGGGAGUGUGGAAUUCCCGGUGUAGCGGUGAAAUGCGCAGAUAUCAGGAGGAACACCGGUGGCGAAGGCGGCUACCUGGACAGAAACUGACGCUGAGGCGCGAAAGCUAGGGGAGCAAACAGG
Molecule: ribosomal RNA, 254 nt
Filed under: uncultured bacterium
Lineage: Bacteria
Description: partial 16S ribosomal RNA
Rfam family: Bacterial small subunit ribosomal RNA
Source: RNAcentral